Molecule: long non-coding RNA, 823 nt
Organism: Anthonomus grandis grandis
Lineage: Eukaryota; Metazoa; Arthropoda; Insecta; Coleoptera; Curculionidae
Exons: 3
Source: RefSeq, a predicted model, not a curated record
CUGUCAACGUCAAAACAAAAUUUUAGUGUAAAUAUUGAAAAUUUACCGGUAUUCAAAUACGGAGAAAAUACUGGUACUUCGCUCGAAAGGUAUGGUACGAUCUCACUGCGACGAAUGUGUCACCUUGGUGGACCUGGAACCUUUUUAUACCCAUCGCAGGAAUUUGGAUGCCGACGACUCACGAUCAUCCUCGGAAUCAAUCGCGGGAUAAAAAAUGCAAUUGGGAAAACAUAAUGAAAAUAAAGUUUGUCUUCAUGAAAACGGUGAAAACAGCGGGACAAAAUCUGGUCACAUGUGUACAAGAAAACCGCCUUUUCAGAAAAACCGCAGGAAACUGAAUCCUGGUUUACAUUAUAUUACAUUAUAUUUUGCCACACCAGGCAUGCUCUUUCAUUUAACAGGGCUUCUCAAGUUUUAGGCAUUUGUGGUUCUUUAUUAUCCUAAGAAUAACCAGGGCUAAAAACAAUGAAGGCCAGAGACUACAACAUAGUCAACGGAGAAAUAAGUAUAACUUAUAAGAAAUCGAACCUUUUCAGGAUACUAUCAGACUAAAAACUGCUUUAAGUUGGUUUCUUUAUGUAUGUUUACAAUUAUAAACCCCUCAUGACUCACAGGUAAAGCUAAAAAUGUAUUUUUUUGCUAUGUAAAUUAUAAAAUUGGAGGUUAAAAUGUUAACGGAGCAAAAUUAAAGACUGCCUGGGCUUACCCUUAUUACUAUAAAAUAAAGAUAAAAUCUUGUAACUUUGUCACAUUAUCUACUAUCGAAUAAAAUUUAAAAUUGGUAUUUAGGUUAUACAAGAUGACUCAAAUGAUUCUUUUUACG